RNAcentral lists this ribosomal RNA (518 nucleotides) under Phylladiorhynchus peneleos. RNAcentral describes it as "partial large subunit ribosomal RNA". It matches the Rfam family "Bacterial large subunit ribosomal RNA", at positions 1831 to 2597 of the family's 2925-position model. Lineage: Eukaryota; Metazoa; Arthropoda; Malacostraca; Decapoda; Galatheidae. The record is from RNAcentral.
GUCUAUAUGGAGUUAAAUAUAGUAUAGCCUGCCCCCUGAUUUGUUUAAAGGCCGCAGUACACUAACUGUGCAAAGGUAGCAUAAUAAUUUGUUUUUUAAUUGAAAGCUUGAAUGAACGGCUGGACGAAGAAAAAUCUGUUUCUAAAAUUAUUUUGGAAAUUUACCUUUAAGUUAAAAGGCUUAAAUUUUUUUAAAAGACGAUAAGACCCUAUAAAACUUUAUAUAUAAUUUUUUUUUUAUUCUUUAUUUUGUUUAUGGUAAAAAAUAAAAAAUUUUAUUGUGUUGGGGCGACAAGAAUAAAAUAAAAUUAAACUGUUCUUAUUUUAGACAAAAAUAUUUGAAGAAGUUUUAAAAGAUCCUUAUUUAAAAGAUUAAAAGUAUAAGUUACUUUAGGGAUAACAGCGUAAUUUUUUUAAAGAGUCCUUAUCGAAAAAAAAGUUUGCGACCUCGAUGUUGAAUUAAAAUUUCUUUUUGGUGCAGAAGCUAAAAAAGUAAGUCUGUUCGACUUUUAAAAUUUU